GUCUCCAAAAUCUAUAAGAUAAAAAAUUUUUGAUUUUUUUAAGAGUUUUAUUCUCUGGGGACA
Molecule: transfer RNA, 63 nt
Filed under: Tigriopus californicus
Lineage: Eukaryota; Metazoa; Arthropoda; Copepoda; Harpacticoida; Harpacticidae
Description: tRNA-Lys
Source: RNAcentral